CCCUUAGAUGUCCGGGGCUGCACGCGCGCUACACUGAAGGAAUCAGCGUGCUAAAACCAUUGUCGAAAGGCAUUGGUAAACCCAUUAAAAUCCUACGUGAUUGGGAUCGGGAAUUGCAAUUAUUUCCCUUGAACGAGGAAUUCCAGUAAGUGUGGGUCAUAAGCUCGCGUUGAUUACGUCCCUGCCCUUUGUACACACCGCCCGUCGCUGCCCGGGACUGAGCCGUUUCGAGAAAAGCGGGGACUGCUGCUGUCGGGGCUUUCGGGCCUUGGCUUCGGUGGAAACCGCUUUAAUCGCAGUGGCUUGAACCGGGCAAAAGUCGUAACA
Molecule: ribosomal RNA, 327 nt
Filed under: uncultured eukaryote
Lineage: Eukaryota
Description: partial 18S ribosomal RNA
Rfam family: Eukaryotic small subunit ribosomal RNA
Source: RNAcentral